This 222-nucleotide ribosomal RNA is filed under the name uncultured bacterium. RNAcentral describes it as "partial 16S ribosomal RNA". It matches the Rfam family "Bacterial small subunit ribosomal RNA", at positions 28 to 238 of the family's 1533-position model. The record is from RNAcentral.
GAUGAACGCUGGCGGCGUGCCUAAUACAUGCAAGUCGAACGCACAGCGAAAGGUGCUUGCACCUUUCAAGUGAGUGGCGAACGGGUGAGUAACACGUGGACAACCUGCCUCAAGGCUGGGGAUAACAUUUGGAAACAGAUGCUAAUACCGAAUAAAACUCAGUGUCGCAUGACACAAAAGUUAAAAGGCGCUUUGGCGUCACCUAGAGAUGGAUCCGCGGUG